RNAcentral lists this ribosomal RNA (601 nucleotides) under Chelonarium sp. FC_A19. RNAcentral's name for it is "SSU rRNA". It matches the Rfam family "Eukaryotic small subunit ribosomal RNA", at positions 22 to 602 of the family's 1831-position model. Lineage: Eukaryota; Metazoa; Arthropoda; Insecta; Coleoptera; Chelonariidae. The record is from RNAcentral.
AGUCAUAUGCUUGUCUCAAAGAUUAAGCCAUGCAUGUCUCAGUACAAGCCGAAUUAAGGUGAAACCGCGAAAGGCUCAUUAAAUCAGUUAUGGUUCCUUAGAUCGUACCCACAUUUACUUGGAUAACUGUGGUAAUUCUAGAGCUAAUACAUGCAAACAGAGCUCCGACCGGAGACGGAAGGAGCGCUUUUAUUAGAUCAAAACCAAUCGGCGUCGGGUUCGCUCGUCGUCGUACAACUUGGUGAGUCUGAAUAACUUUUUGCUGAUCGCAUGGUCUCGCACCGGCGACGCAUCUUUCAAAUGUCUGCCUUAUCAACUGUCGAUGGUAGGUUCUGCGCCUACCAUGGUUGUAACGGGUAACGGGGAAUCAGGGUUCGAUUCCGGAGAGGGAGCCUGAGAAACGGCUACCACAUCCAAGGAAGGCAGCAGGCGCGCAAAUUACCCACUCCCGGCACGGGGAGGUAGUGACGAAAAAUAACGAUACGGGACUCAUCCGAGGCCCCGUAAUCGGAAUGAGUACACUCUAAACCCUUUAACGAGGAUCAAUUGGAGGGCAAGUCUGGUGCCAGCAGCCGCGGUAAUUCCAGCUCCAAUAGCGUAU